UCUCAUGUACAGACUUGCCUAUAUAGGUCAGCAAGCCCGGAAGUCUCCAGAUGGAAUUUCCCAGGCAAAGGAAACAACUCAAAGCUCAGAGGAGGGAUCAUGUUUACUAUGUUCAAGAAAUAGCCAGAAAGACUGCGUGGCUGGAGCAGAGUAGGAUGAGGAAGAAAAGAAGAAGGGAAGAUCAGAGAACUAAUGGAGGGAGGAGGAGAGUACACAGAGGUCUUUAAAGGCCAUAUAAGAACUUGGACUUUUACUCUGAGGUAGGCGAAGAAUUUAGACACUUGCAUUUCUUUUUGGGAAAGAAAUGCCGUGAUCUGACUUAUGUUUCAAAAGGAUCACUUAUACUUCUUUGUGGGCAAUAGAAUGGAAGGAGGCAAGGGUGGGAACAGGAAAACAGUUAUAAGACGAUUGCUAAAAUGUAGCAAGUCUGACGAAAGUGAUAGCCAUGGAGGCGGUGAGGAGUAAUUGGUCUCUGAAUUAUGUUUAGGGUAAACACAGGAAGACUUCCUGGUGAAUCGGAUGUGCAGUGGGAGUAAUAAAGAGAGGAAACAAGGGUGACUCAAAGAUUUUUGACCUAAGCACUAGAGGGGUGAAUUUUUCAUCUACUGAGAUGGAAAGCUUUGAGCAGCUCAGAUAUUUGGGAGAAGAUCAGGAGUCACUCUUGAAAAGUUUGAAUGAUCUAAAUGAGAGACUUUGAAUAUAGUUUUGGAGUCUGAGGCAAAGGAGCAUCCAGGGCUGGAGAUGUAAAUUUGGCAACAAAGGGCAUACAGAGGGAGCCUGGAUGAGAUCCCCAAAGGAAGGAGAGUAGAUAAAAAAAGAAACUACAAUCUGAGGCAAGUCAGUCCAGGACUAAGAGGUAUAAGCAAAGAUAAAUCAUUCACAAAGUUCUGAGACUAGCAACCAGUGAAUUAGGAAGCCUUACAAGUCAAAAAAAAAAAAAAAAAAAAAAAGUAUCAAGGAGUGGUGUCAUCUCUGUCAAGGGGCGUAAAAUGUGAGAGGACCAAAUGUGAGCCAUGAGAUUUGGCAACCUGAAGUUUAUCUGAGACCUCAGUAAGAGCAAUUUUGUUGAGAGUUAAGACCUGAUUUCAGUGGGUCUGUGAGAGAAUGAGAGGAGAGGAACUGGAUAGAAUUAAUACAGACCCCCUUUCUAAAUGUUUUUCUGCAAAGGCAAAGAGAAAUGGAGUCAUACCUGGUAGGGAGAGAGGGUCCAGUAAAAGGUUUUAUUUCUGUUUUUUCUUGUUUUUGUUGGCUUAGUUUUUUGCUUUUUAAGAUAAAUGAGUAACAAUCUUUUGUGCUGAGGAGGAUGACUCAAAAAGUGGAAAGAGUUGACAAGGUAAGAGAUGGGAGAAGACAUGCAGGGAUGCCCUUGAGUGGGCCGCAGGGCUUGCAAUCUGGUGCACAUGUGAAGAGAUUGGCUCUAGAAAGACCACAGACAAUUCACCUUUCAAAACAGCAAGAAAAGCACAGUGAGUACACGUGUUUGUGGGAGGGUGAGCAGGUGCAGUAGUGAGAGACUGGGGAAAUUCUCUUUUAAUUGUUUCACCUCUGUCAGUGAAGGAGAAAAAAAGAUUGUGCAUUGAGAAUGAACAUGAGGGAGCAGGUGCUGGAGAUUUAAAAGGGAGGUGAGAAAGGACAGUUGAUUGGGAAAGAGAUAGAAUAGUGGCUCUCAAAGGCAGUCUCCAGAUCAGCAGCAUUGGUAUCACCUGAAGACUUGUUAGUAAUGCAAAAAUCUCAGGCCUUACUUCCAGCUUGAUGAAUCAGGAACUCUGAGGUAGGCGCAGCAGUCUGUGUCUUAGCAAGCCUUGCAGGGAUUCUGAUGCACGCUGAAGUCUGAGUGUCACUGGAAUGGAUGGUGUCCAUAUGAUUGCUGGGUCACUCCGCCUAUCCUGAAUGUCAAGAACAUGCCAAGUGAGACCAGCCAGCAUAUUGUAGCUCUUUCUCCAGCCACAACCAGAAAGUCUUUGCUUCCUCUUCGCCUUCUGCCAUGAUUGUAAGUUUCCUGAAGCCUCUCCAGCUGUGCAAAACGGCUAUGAAGAAAAGUGUGAGUCAUCAUUACUGGAAAGAACAAGGUAAUGGUGAGUAAGUUGACUAUCAUCAGAUCAUGGGCAAAUUAUUUGACACCUCCUGGAGCAUCUGACUUUAUAUUAAUUAUGAAGCAACUUUGAUAUGUUCUCUCCUUCUUUUUUGAUAUCUUCUUUUCUUCUUACGUGCUAAUAGAAUUUUAACCUGGGCCAGCUAAAAGUUUUCCAGCUUCUUCCCAUUUGUGACAACCAAAAAUGUUUCCAAACAUUGCCGAAUAUCUCCUGGGGACAUUCCUAGUAAGAAACAUUUCUCAGGUAGACGUCCUUGGGCAAGUCAGCUAAAUCUUUGAAAUCUUAGUUUCCUCAAAGGUGAAAAUAACAGAUAUUUGUCUCUCAAGAUUACUGAGGUAGGUAGAAUUCUAAGAUGCCUUAAAUGGUUAGGCUUUGUGUCCCCACCCAAAUCUCAUCUUGAAUUGUAAUCCCUCGUUGUUGUAGGGAGAGCCCUGGUGGGAAGUGGUUGGAUUAAGAGGGAGAGUUUCCCCCGUGCUGUUCUCGUGAUAGUGAGUAAGUUCCCACAAGAUCUGAUGGUUUUAUAGGCAGUUUUCCCUGCUCUUGCUAGCACUCUCUCCUGCUGCCAUGUGAAAAGUUCAAGUUUGCUUCCCCUUCACCUUCCAUCAUGAUUGUAAGUUAACUGAGGCCUUCCUAGCCAUGUGGAACUGCGAGUCAAUUAAACCUUUUUCCUUUAUAAGUUACCCAGUAUCGGGUAGUAUCUUUAUAGCAGUGUGAGAAUGGACUAACGUAUACUUCCUACUCCACACU
This is a long non-coding RNA of Pan troglodytes (chimpanzee), 2840 nucleotides long. RefSeq lists it as uncharacterized. The record is from RefSeq and is a predicted model, not a curated record. Lineage: Eukaryota; Metazoa; Chordata; Mammalia; Primates; Hominidae. The transcript has 3 exons.